GGGGAGGUGCCAGAGUGGACGAUUGGGGCCGCCUGCUAAGCGGUUGUGGGGGCUAAAACCUCCACCAAGGGUUCGAAUCCCUUCCUCCCCG
RNAcentral lists this transfer RNA (91 nucleotides) under Chloroflexota bacterium. RNAcentral's name for it is "tRNA-Ser". It matches the Rfam family "tRNA". Rfam says of the family: Transfer RNA (tRNA) molecules are approximately 80 nucleotides in length. Their secondary structure includes four short double-helical elements and three loops (D, anti-codon, and T loops). The record is from RNAcentral. Lineage: Bacteria; Bacillati; Chloroflexota. RNAcentral also lists the same sequence under 1 other name.